RNAcentral lists this long non-coding RNA (4678 nucleotides) under Musa acuminata (dwarf banana). RNAcentral's name for it is "long non-coding RNA (MACU_LNC003205)". The record is from RNAcentral. Lineage: Eukaryota; Viridiplantae; Streptophyta; Magnoliopsida; Zingiberales; Musaceae.
ACAUCAUAUCUUCUAAAUCACCUUCCUUUCUUCAGCCAACAAUGUUCCUGUUAUUUCAGUGCCGCACAAAAUGGCCUAUAAGACACUAACAGCUGUGGCCUGCCUCGGCCAACCUUGUUGCAUUAGAUUAAAUCUACCUAAACAAAACUGUGAGCUCACGUAACUAAAGAAUAGAAACAAUACCAAAUCUAAACCAAUUACUAGCCCUCGGUACCGCUGUUGUACAUUAUAAAUUAUCUUUCUUUAAAUAUAUAUACUCCCCGUACCCUUUUGCAACAACAACCAAAAAAAACCCAGUUCCCCACCUGGAUUCAGGUGGGUUCAAGAAUUUACAUAAUAAUACAAAUAAAUCACGAAAAAUGCUUUGAAAAGUUCUAUGUAGAGAAUAAAUAUAAGAGGAAAAAUAAACAAUAGGCUAUAAGAAAUAAAGACUAGGUAUCUGAAACCAACAAAAUGAAUAUAAAAUUAUACAAAAAAUAUAGUUUAACCAUUCAUUAAAUCAUCCACCUUUUUUAUAUAAAGCAUAAACCAGUCCAAAGACAUGUCCUAACCAAAGAAGCAUUAUAAACUUUCCACAAAAACCAGGGAUUGAGUUAUAAUAUGACUAAGAUGCAAUUUACUAUUGUUGCAUUCAAGAGAAGUCCUAAUAAAUUUAAAGCUAAAAGAAACACAAACAAGCAGAAUUUCUAAUUAUAUGCAACAUGAUAUUCCUAACGACUGAUACAUUCCUAAAAUAAGUUGACAUUAUAAUUCAGCACAAGAUUACAACAGCAUAACCUAGCCAUGCUAGGACCCUCAUCCCAUAAACCUUGGUUAAGAUCAAUGUAAUGGAGACAUAAAGUCUCAAAGAAACUAACAUGAAAAUUUUACAUUGUAGUAAGUUUCCUAAAGCUUCUUUGAUGGUAUGUUUAGCUUUGGAAACCCAAGAAGGAACCACCAUGAAACUGUGUAACAAUAAGACCAGGGAUCAAUUAAGCACAUUCUCCACUAUAUUCAAUUAGACAACAGAUUGGCAAACAAUAGGCUGAGGUUUGCCAAAUCAUAGGGCUAUUUCAGAGAUCCCAAGACAACACCAUUUUCAGCUUUAACAUAAUAAAAUGCACUACUUCCCAUAUUCCAGAUAAGUCAUUGUUUUACAAGACUCCAACUAAUUACUUCAUACCAGUAUCUGCCCAAGUCAGAAAUUAUAGUUGACUUUAUCAUGAGCAUAAACAAAUGUGGCUAAUCAACCAAUAUAAACAUGCACUCAUCCUAAUGCAAGACACGAGCUAUACCAAUAGAAAAACAGAUAAUAAACCUAACACCACUUGGCCAGCCAAUCGAUUCUAAGGAUAAUGUGAUACCAACUGUCUAAAACACAAUUUCAACUAUAACUAGAUAUUUUGAGAACAUGAGAUCUUUUGUAGUCAUAGUCAUACUUCCCGAUGUCAUUAACAUCAAGCAAUUCCAUUCAUUGCACAUAAAAUACACUAAUUUCCAGGGCAGAUAAAUCUAGCAAAUCUAAUCUCCUAAACGAGCAGGACGCUAUUGCUUAGGCUAACAAUAAAGCAUGUUCAAUUGAACAGCAGAAAAAGACAUUAUUACCAAUAUAUGAAAGUCCAUAGAAGUAUAUUAAGAGGGAACACCCAAACCCAACUAAUUAUAGGCGAGAAGUGCAUAUUAUAUUACUAUACACAUUACCUGUGACCUAAAAGUUAUAUCUUUUUUAACCCGGUAACAUCUUUUUUUUGUAAGUGGUCCUGUUGUGGGAAACAACUUUGAGUCGUGGCCUCGGGGCCGACGCGGCUCGGUUCGGGUCCGAACAACGGGGAUCUCCCUGGGGCGUUCCUCGAGCCCGCUAGGGUGGUCGGGUGCGAUGGUCCGAUCGAGACGGUGUAACCGUCUCCUCCGGGCAGGAACUCCUCGCCUGCACGUCCAACGAUCAAGUCAGAUGAUAAUGGAGGGGUUUCAGAUGAAGAAGUGUUUUUGUGUGUCUUUCCCUCUCUCUGAUGAACGAGAGGAUAUUUAUAGGAAAGCUUACUGCUUCCUGAACUGCCCGCUUACAGAGGGUAGGUUGGUAGCGUCUGACGCUUGGAUUGGCGUGACGUGAAGAACGAAGCUUGAGCAAGGUGUUUAAUGUGCCUCGGUCAACGUUCCGAUCUGCAUUGAUCAGGUGCUGUCGCGUCGAUCAAGGCAUGAGGCGUCAUCUGACGUCAGCCGAGUCUUAUCAUAAUUACUAUCCUCAUCAAAAGGACAGGGCAAUCAUGUCAAUUUUGUUUGGGAUGCCCCAUUUCAGGAUAUCCUCCUUGUCCUUCUUUGUUAGAGUUGGAAGAUCGACGAUAACGCCGGGAAGAUUGACAUUUUUCCUCUCACCAAGGACUGUAGAAUUCUCGCAGCGGCAACGAACCAGUCCUGACUCCUUGUCACAAGCAAGCACCGUAAGUGUAAUAGUCCCGUCAGCACAUAAAAUGGCACUGUUUGGCUUCAAAUCCUCUGCUAGCAUUUUGUAGCUCAUUGAUAUCAUGUUUUCAUCACCCUUUAUGCUAUAAUCUGGAGUGAUAGUGAUUUCUUGGCCCUUUUGUAGAUGGAUAGGUUUGCCAUCUUUCAAAAACCCAAUCCGGAUCUCAGGGCCCUUCGUGUCGAGCAUGACAGCACAAAGGAUUCCGGUCUUGUCCAUCGCGACGCAGAGGCUGUCUAGGGUUUCCUGAUGGUAAGCGUGGGAACCGUGGGAGAAGUUGAACCUGGCCACAUUCAUCCCCGCCAUCAGAAACCUCUCGAUCAUCUCCACGGACCUCGAAGCCGGGCCCAAGGUGCACACGAUCUUAGUCUUCGGUCUUCCCCUCGACGCCUCCGCCAUUCCCGAUAAAGCUCCCACAGGUCCUACCCUCUCGGAGAAGAAUCACAGAGACCGGAUCGGAAAGAUGGGUCUGCGAAGUCGACGAGCACCAAUGAAGCCGACGGCGUGGCAGCUCAGGGUGGCCUGCCCGCCUGAGUCGAGCCCCCCUCAGGGCGGCCUCUCGGCCCAAGCCACGUCCCUCAACCAUAGACUGCCCGAGUCCACCUCAACGCGGCAUGCCCGCUUGAGUCGUGUCCCUCGACCUUUGCCAUAUCCCUCGGUCGUAGACUGCCCGAGUCCACCUCAGCGUGGCCUGCCCGCGUGAGUCGUGUCCCUCGGCCGUAGACUGCCGAGUCCACCUCAAGGCGGUCUGCCCGCCUGAGUCGUGUCCCUCAGCCGUAGACUGCCGAGCCCCCCUCAGGGCUAUCUGUCGCCCGAGCCACACCUCUCGGCCAUGUUGCUCGAGACCACGCCUGCGCGACCUGUCCGCUUGCGUCGUUCUCCUCGGUCGCGUGAUGCCCGAGACCACACCUGCGCGGCCUGCACACCUGCGUCGUGCUCCUCGACCNNNNNNNNNNNNNNNNNNNNUGCUCCUCGGCUCCAUGCUCCCUGAGACACACCCGCGCGGCCUGCCCGCCUGCAUCGUGCUCCUCGACCGUAGGUUGCCCGAGACACGCUUGCGUGGCCUGCCCGCCUACGUCGUGCUCCUCGGCUCCAUGCUCCCUAAGACACACCCGCGCGGCGUGCCCGCCUACAUCGUGCUCCUCGACCGCAGGUUGCCCGAGACACGCCUUCGCGACCUGCCCGCCUGCGUCGUGCUCCUCGGUCGCAGGUUGCCCGAGACACGCUUACGCGGCCUGCUCGCCUGCGUCGUGCUCCUCGGCUCCAUGCUUCCCGAGACCACGGCCUCCGCUCGGUCUAAUCUUCUGGGUGUACUCCUCGGCCGCACGCUACCCGGAUUCACCGCUGCACACUCGACCCUUCAAAGGCAAAGCCAUGCCUCAGACCCUCCCAUUUACGACAUAACUUCCUUCGAGGGGGGGGAAUAUGAUGGGGGUAAUAAAUGGCGACAAGAUUCGCGCAGACGUCAGCUAUCCCGGACGACACCUCACACCUCGAACGACCCGGCGGAACCUGGUCAAACGAACCAGAACACGCACCGAGACCCAUUAACGACCUGUUCAGACUCGGUCCUUCACGCCACGCCAACGCCCAUUUUAGACGCUAUCAGCCUGCCUCCUGCAGGCGGGCACAUCAAACUACAGUAAGCUUCCCUAUAAAUACCCCCGCAUUCCAAACGAAAAAGGAGGAGAACACCAACAUAGAUAACAAACUCCACUCUACAUCACUAACUUGAUCGUCGGAGGGGUCGGGCCGAGCUUCCGACUCGACCUGUGUGCAAGUAAGGAGAGGACGCCUUCCCCCCAGGACAUCCCGACGAAUCCAACGGUGAUCUGGUCCGCGCGGUCAGUCGCUCCGGCAAUCUCGAGAGACCUCGAGCAAAGAUCCCCGUCAUUCAACCCCGAACCAAGCCGCGUCGGCCCCGAGACACGGCACAAAAUUGUUUACACCUAACAGGUCCCUUGAAAUUACCACCACCAUGCAGUGUAGUUAUGCAGAUAUCAGAAGACGAAUGGUCAAAUAAGAGGGACUAACACUUACUGCUUUCAAAAUUAAGAAAAUUAAUGAUGAAUGCAGUAUAUAUUAUGGGAAAAAAGUAGCUUAUAACUUUUGAGCAUACAAAAUAAAUAUAUGGUGACAUGUUGGUUUUACUCAUUCAACCAAGACAAAUAAUAAAAGCUAACAAUUGUUGUAGCAAUCCAAUCAUGACGGCCAUAAUUCUGCAAGCACAUUCAAGUUACU